RNAcentral lists this ribosomal RNA (457 nucleotides) under uncultured bacterium. Its description in RNAcentral is "bacterial SSU rRNA". It matches the Rfam family "Bacterial small subunit ribosomal RNA", at positions 29 to 507 of the family's 1533-position model. The record is from RNAcentral.
AUUGAACGCUGGCGGCAUGCCUUACACAUGCAAGUCGAACGGCAGCACGGGGCAACCUGGUGGCGAGUGGCGAACGGGUGAGUAAUGCAUCGGAACGUGCCAUUGAGUGGGGGAUAACGUAGCGAAAGUUGCGCUAAUACCGCAUAUUCUGUGAGCAGGAAAGCAGGGGACCGCAAGGCCUUGCGCUCUUUGAGCGGCCGAUGUCAGAUUAGCUAGUUGGUAGGGUAAAGGCCUACCAAGCCGACGACGGGUAACCGGUCUGAGAGGAUGGCCGGUCACAAGGGCACUGAGAGACGGGCCCUACUCCUACGGGAGGCAGCAGUGGGGAAUCUUGCGCAAUGGGCGAAAGCCUGACGCAGCAACGCCGCGUGCGGGAUGAAGGCCUUCGGGUUGUAAACCGCUUUCAGCAGGGACGAAAAUGACGGUACCUGCAGAAGAAGCCCCGGCUAACUACGUG